AUGGUGUUCAAUCUAAUCACUAGCUAUGACUUUGAGGAUACAGGCCCUUUGUGUUGUUUGUCGCUGAAGUAAACGUUAUUUAUAAAAUAAAAAUACUUAAUAAACGGUAAUUCUGAAACGGCGACCUGCAUGAAAAGAUUUGAGUCAAUAUCAUGGACGGGAGAAGUCGGUGCUUAGUUUUUUGAUGAGUACCAUAAACAUUAUCAAAUGUUCAAAUGUCAUGUAGGUUCAAGAAACAUUAUAGCAAACUGUAACUGAGAUCGAAAGGAAAUCUGGUGUUAUAGCUCAACUAGCUGAUAAACACACGCUCCUAUGGGUAUUUGAGAAAUCAGUGGUAGGCUUAGGUCAGCGAGGACGCACCAAAAAAUAUUGGUCAAAACUAUAAGACGUAUGGAAGUAAAAGAAUCGAAAAGAACAUGUUUUUUAGUAAGCAGGAUGCAGAUGUUUUUCAACAAUUUAAACUAGUGCAUUAGCUCGAGCAGAAGCGCUUAGUGUUUCUGUGUCAUUUUUAAUUUUUCAAGAGACAGCCAAAGGCACUGAAUGAAUAAUUUUUCGUAAAUUUUCGUAAAACUAAGGAAAAAUUAAGGAAAAAAGGCGAUCAGAUACCGCCCUAGUUCUAACCAUAAACUAGGCCAACCAGCAAUUUGCUUGCGUAUGUCUUACGACUAAGUGAGAGGCCACGGGAAACCAAAGUAGGGUUACAGGGGAAGUAUAGUUACAAAGCUGAAACUCAAAGGAAUUGACGGAAAAGCACCACCAGGAGUAGAGCCUGCGGCUUAAUUUGACUCAGUACGGGAAAACUUACCUGGUCCUGACACUAGAAUGGUUGACAGAUCGAUAGCUCUUUCUUGAUCUGGUGGAUGGUGGUGCAUGGCCGUUCUUAGUUGGUGGAGUGAUUUCUCUGGUUAAUUCCGAUAACGAACGAGACUCUAGCGUAUUAAAUAAUACACGGAAUCUUGUCUUCCGUGAGGUUCCUUAAUAAGAUCAAGUGUGUUUAACACUUUGAAACAGAGCAAUAACAGGUCUGUGAUGCCCUUAGAUGUUCGGGGCCGCACGCGCGCUACGUUGAAUGCAAGAUGAGUUUCCCCAGUCUUUAACGAGGCUGGUAAUCAUUGAAUGUUUUUCUUAAUGGGGAUAGGGGAUUCCAAUUGUGCCCCUUGAACGAGGAAUUCCGAGUAAGUGCUAGUCAUUAGCUAGUACUGAUUACGUCCCUGUCUUUUGUACACAUCGCCCGUCGCUACUACCGAUUGAAUGGUUUAGUGAGAUCAUCUGGGUAGACGGGUGUGUACUUUGUACAUGGCUGUAUUGCGAUGAAGAUCAAACUUGAUCAUUUAGAGGAAGUAAAAGUCCUAACAAGGUUUCUGUAGGUGAACCUGCGGAAG
Molecule: ribosomal RNA, 1382 nt
Filed under: Varroa jacobsoni
Lineage: Eukaryota; Metazoa; Arthropoda; Arachnida; Mesostigmata; Varroidae
Description: bacterial SSU rRNA
Rfam family: Eukaryotic small subunit ribosomal RNA (bases 428-1382)
Source: RNAcentral